AGAGUUUGAUCCUGGCUCAGGAUGAACGCUGGCGGCGUGCUUAACACAUGCAAGUCGAACGAGGUCCAACCUUCGGGUGAAGACCGAGUGGCGAACGGGUGAGUAACACGUGGGGAACCUGCCCUUCUCUCUGGGAUAACGUCGAGAAAUCGGUGCUAAUACCGGAUACUCCUUGCGGAUCGCAUGGUCUGCUCGGGAAAGCUCCGGCGGAGAGGGAUGGCCCCGCGGCCCAUUAGCUAGUUGGUGAGGUAAUGGCCCACCAAGGCGACGAUGGGUAGCCGAGCUGAGAGGCUGAUCGGCCACACUGGGACUGAGACACGGCCCAGACUCCUACGGGAGGCAGCAGUGGGGAAUUUUGCACAAUGGGCGAAAGCCUGAUGCAGCAACGCCGCGUGCGGGAUGAAGGCCCUCGGGUUGUAAACCGCUUUCAGCAGGGACGAAUAUGACGGUACCUGCAGAAGAAGCCCCGGCUAACUACGUGCCAGCAGCCGCGGUAAUACGUAGGGGGCAAGCGUUAUCCGGAUUCAUUGGGCGUAAAGCGCGCGUAGGCGGCUUGUUAAGUCAGAUGUGAAAACCGGGGGCUCAACCCGCGGCCUGCAUCUGAAACUGGCAGGCUUGAGUCUGGUAGAGGAAAGUGGAAUUCCUGGUGUAGCGGUGAAAUGCGCAGAUAUCAGGAGGAACACCAGUGGCGAAGGCGGCUUUCUGGGCCACGACUGACGCUGAGGCGCGAAAGCUAGGGGAGCAAACAGGAUUAGAUA
Molecule: ribosomal RNA, 758 nt
Filed under: uncultured bacterium
Lineage: Bacteria
Description: bacterial SSU rRNA
Rfam family: Bacterial small subunit ribosomal RNA
Source: RNAcentral